This 913-nucleotide ribosomal RNA is filed under the name uncultured archaeon. Its description in RNAcentral is "bacterial SSU rRNA". It matches the Rfam family "Archaeal small subunit ribosomal RNA", at positions 1 to 923 of the family's 1478-position model. The record is from RNAcentral.
UUCCGGUUGAUCCUGCCGGAGGCUACUGCUAUCGGAAUUCGAUUAAGCCAUGCGAGUCGAGAGGGUUCGGCCCUCGGCUGACGGCUCAGUAACACGUGGAUAACCUGCCCUCAGGUAGGGGAUAAUCUCGGGAAACUGAGGAUAAUACCCUAUAGACAUCCUUUGCUGGAAUGCUUGGAUGUUCAAAGGCAACGCCUGAGGAUGGGUCUGCGGCCUAUCAGGUUGUAGUGGGUGUAACGGACCCACUAGCCAGCGACGGGUACGGGCCUUGAAAGAGGUAGCCCGGAGAUGGACUCUGAGACACGAGUCCAGGCCCUACGGGGCGCAGCAGGCGCGAAAACUUCGCAAUGCGGGAAACCGUGACGAGGGAAUUCCGAGUGCUCAUACAAUGUAUGGGCUUUUCUGAUGUGUAAAAAGCAUUAGGAAUAAGGGCUGGGUAAGACCGGUGCCAGCCGCCGCGGUAAUACCGGCAGCUCUAGUGGUAGCCACUUUUAUUGGGCCUAAAGCGUCCGUAGCCGGUCAGGUAAAUCCUUGGGUAAAUCGUACAGCUUAACUGUGCGGCUUCCGGGGAGACUGCCUGACUUGGGACCGGGAGAGGUUGGAGGUACUCCUGGGGUAGGGGUGAAAUCCUGUAAUCCUAGGUGGACCACCGGUGGCGAAGGCGUCCAACCAGAACGGCUCCGACGGUGAGGGACGAAGGCUAGGGGCGCAAACCGGAUUAGAUACCCGGGUAGUCCUAGCUGUAAACGCUGCAGACUUGGUGUUGGAGAUCCUACGAGGGUGUCCAGUGCCGGAGAGAAGUUGUUAAGUUUGCCGCCUGGGAAGUAUGGCCGCAAGGCUGAAACUUAAAGGAAUUGGCGGGGGAGCACCGCAACGGGAGGAGCGUGCGGUUUAAUUGGAUUCAACGCCGGAA